GAACUGCGAAAAGUAAUGUGACCUGCAACCUUUGUGAAUCAUCCAAUCUUUGAACGCAACUUGCACCAGCAGCGAUGCUGGUAUGCUUGUUUGAGUAUCGCAUCACUAGUUGACUUGGACACUCAGGAAUGAUGUCUGAAAACGAGGGGCCGGAAGGUCUACUGGGAUAACAUCCUAACAGUAGACACGCACAGAGCCGUUGAGCGCGAGCUCGACGACGAGUGCCAGGCCACCGCGACCAACAGUAAGGAAUAAAUACGCAGUAUUGAAACCUAAUGCUUGGCGCGCAGACACAGAGCACAGCCCUUAAAAGCUACGCUCUGCGUUUCAUUAACGAUCUCAAAUCAAGCAAGGAUACCCGCUGAAUUUAA
This 371-nucleotide unclassified non-coding RNA is filed under the name uncultured fungus. RNAcentral's name for it is "sequence contains ITS1". The stretch from base 1 to 100 matches the Rfam family "5.8S ribosomal RNA", at positions 50 to 154 of the family's 154-position model. The record is from RNAcentral. Lineage: Eukaryota; Fungi.